Molecule: long non-coding RNA, 180 nt
Organism: Chelonia mydas (Green sea turtle)
Lineage: Eukaryota; Metazoa; Chordata; Testudines; Cheloniidae
Exons: 4
Source: RefSeq, a predicted model, not a curated record
GCAUAAAGAGGGGUAUUGACUUGGGGCUUGUCUACACUGCGAAGUUGUCGACAAAACUUUUGGCUUUCCCGGGUACUUAAAAAAGCUCCCCCAUGAAAGACAAAAAAGUUUUGCCAACGCAAGUGGCAGUGUGAACGUGGCUUUGUCGGCAGGAGCACUCUCCUGCUGACAAAGCUAACA